CUCUUUGAGCGAUGGAACGAAGUUCUGUUUAUACCGAAGUUUUGUUUUCCAAUACAUUCUCCAAGUAGCAGCCAAUAUAUGAAGCAACCAACACAAGCUUUGCUGUUUCUAUGAAAAUUCCAAUUUCACGAGGAACAAACAAUGUUGAAUAUCAUGUAGUUGCCUAGUUCAUUACACAGAGAAGAUAUUGAUGAAAAUAUCAUAUCUCGGUACAUAUAAAAA
This is a long non-coding RNA of Xenia sp. Carnegie-2017, 222 nucleotides long. RefSeq lists it as uncharacterized. The transcript is spliced from 2 exons. Lineage: Eukaryota; Metazoa; Cnidaria; Anthozoa; Malacalcyonacea; Xeniidae. The record is from RefSeq and is a predicted model, not a curated record.